UGCGGCUCAUGACUAGGCAUAAGAGAGGAAAAGAAGCCACCAGAAUUUGGAAGACUCUGAGCCCCAAACUUACAUGAAGCAACUGCAUUUAAGUACAGCAAGGGGAGGACUAAGAUGGAUGCUAUGAGAUGCCCACCACAUCCCCCAGCACUGAGGCUCCCAUACUUCCCUUGCCAGUUUAAGUACUGGGACUCACAGCUGGAGUUGAGAGCCUUUCUCCCCCUGACAUCUCCAGGUGGUGGUGAGACAUCAUCAAAUCCUAAGAAACAGUGCACUUGAAGGUUUUUCACUCACUGCAUCAAAGAGGAGAAAAAUAUUUCUCUCCACUGCCUAAAGGUAUGUUCUUUCUUUGUCUCGUCAACCUCUUCUCUUACAGGCUGGCGAUCCGUUAUGAAAGAUGCUGGGAGGAUGAGUUCUAUCACAUCCUGAUGUGGUAGCUCAGCUCUCCCCCUUAGGCUGGUAGAGUUCUUAGAACAUUAUAUAUUUGUCAACAACUGAGGCCGUGGCCCAAAAGGAGAUUUAAAAAAUCCCUCAUUAACAUCCCAUUAUAAUUAUUAUUAACAGUAAUUACAUGUAAGGGCAAAUGCCACUCGUUAUUUACUUGGAAAAUUAAUUAUGUAAAAAAUUGUUAGCAAAUAAUUUCCCCAUAUGGUUUUUUGUACUGGAUGUAUAAUACAAUGUAGAUUGAAAGUGAAUUAUUUCUUGUAACAUAAAGACUAGAUAAAAAUCUGUAGAUUGAAAGUGAAUUAUUUCUUAUAAAGAGUGGGUAAAAAUCUGUAGAUUAAAAGUGAAUUAUUUCUUACAACAGAAAGAGUAGAUAAAAAUCUGCUUUCACUGACUGGCAGUUUUGGAAUUUGCAAUCUCUCUUUGUCUCUGUCUCUGUCUUUUUCAUACACAUGUACACACACACAAACACACAACUAGUUCAUUUGUUUCAUAAACGUUUUAAUUUGCUUCUAAAUUAUGAGCUACAGGAUGUUACUGGCAGACACAUUUCCACAAACAAAAUAUUAUGGAUGCAGAUAGAUUAUUAUAUUAUCAAUAAAUCAAAGGAUAAUUAAAACAGAAUAAAUGGAGUAUUUUUGCUAUAUUUUUUGGACCCUUGGGUUUUGAAUCACUACCUACCUUUUGCUCUAGUUCAUGCAAACUAUGAUGGAAUGAAAACAGCUUGAACAAUCAAUCAAAGCUCAUUGAACAGUUAUAUUUUCACACUUCUUAUUAACUUAUAUAUUUACAUCACUUUUUAGUCUUUCUUUAAUCAAUAAUACUUUCUCUCAUCAAUAAUUUAUAGACAUAAAGGAAAUAAGAAUAAAAAUAAUUUGCCUGCACACUAUAACCACUGAAGACAUGGAUAUGUGAUUGACAGUCCAUAAGAAGCAUUAUCUGAGAUCCACAAACUCCAGAAAUAUUUGACUUUCACAUCACUGUUGUAGGUUCUCAAAACAUUCCAUUUUUAAAUAGAUAAUAUUUUGAUACUGUAGUUAUUGAUUUAAAGAAGACAUUAAAAGACCCUAUUACCGUUUUAAAGGCGAGAAGUGUUUGGAGACUUUUGAUGGACACCUGGGACAAGUGGUGAAGAUAAAGGGGAAUCAUUGAAGGAAUUUCCACCAGAAUGAGGCAUUAUCAGACUUGCCACAAUGUGGUUAAUGGAUGAGAGACUAGGGUAGAGAGACAGGGUGGCCUGAAAGAUGGAAGAAGAAUUAAAACUUCAUUGCAACAGUCUAAAAAAGAGAUGGUAAUGACCUGAACUAGGAUUGUAACAGGAUUUAGAGAACUGGAUAGACUCUGAACAAAAUGCAGAAGGAACGCCUUUACCUUUGGAAAUUCCUUGCUUGUGGAGGGUAGGGGUGAAGAAGAGGACAAAGAUGAUGUGAAAGUCUGUUUUGGGUCACAAAUUAGAUAUGGUGUCACUUGCUGAGAUAAGGAUGACAGUAAGAAAAAUAGAAAUAGGUUUUUGUAGGGAAAGUAAACUUCAGCUUGCAAUAUUUUCAGUUUAGGGAAUUUGUGCUUAAUUUAAGAAGCUGUUUCACCUGAGGUCAUUUCAGAGAAUUCUGGAGAUAAUUGAUGAUCUUGGUUAGUACAGACAGAUUAUAAUAUUAUCAAUAAAUCAAAGGAUAAUUAA
RNAcentral lists this long non-coding RNA (2122 nucleotides) under Callithrix jacchus (white-tufted-ear marmoset). Its description in RNAcentral is "lncRNA (ENSCJAG00000083400.1)". The record is from RNAcentral. Lineage: Eukaryota; Metazoa; Chordata; Mammalia; Primates; Cebidae.